Molecule: ribosomal RNA, 253 nt
Filed under: uncultured bacterium
Lineage: Bacteria
Description: partial 16S ribosomal RNA
Rfam family: Bacterial small subunit ribosomal RNA
Source: RNAcentral
UACGUAGGGGGCGAGCCUUGUCCGAAUUCACUGGGCGUAAAGCGCGUGUAGGCGGCCCUUUAAGGGGAGUGUGAAAUCCUGCAGCUCAACUGCAGAACUGCACUUCAAACUGGAGGGCUUGAGUGUGGGAGAGGAAAGUGGAAUUCCUGGUGUAGCGGUGAAAUGCGUAGAUAUCAGGAGGAACACCCGUGGCGAAGGCGGCUUUCUGGCCCACCCCUGACGCUGAGACGCGAAAGCUAGGGGAGCGAACGGG